CCUACGGGAGGCAGCAGUGAGGAAUAUUGGUCAAUGGGCGCGAGCCUGAACCAGCCAAGUCGCGUGAGGGAAGACGGUCCUAUGGAUUGUAAACUUCUUUUGUCGGGGAACAAAGGCGGAGACGCGUCUCCGGAUGAGUGUACCCGAAGAAAAAGCAUCGGCUAACUCCGUGCCAGCAGCCGCGGUAAUACGGAGGAUGCGAGCGUUAUCCGGAUUUAUUGGGUUUAAAGGGUGCGCAGGCGGGAGAUCAAGUCAGCGGUAAAAUGUCGGGGCUCAACCCCGGCCGGCCGUUGAAACUGGUUUUCUAGAGUUGGAUAGAAGUAUGCGGAAUUCGUGGUGUAGCGGUGAAAUGCAUAGAUAUCACGAAGAACUCCGAUUGCGAAGGCAGCUCACUGGACUGCAACUGACACUGAGGCUCGAAAGUGUGGGUAUCAAACAGGAUUAGAUACCCCUGUAGUC
Molecule: ribosomal RNA, 459 nt
Filed under: uncultured bacterium
Lineage: Bacteria
Description: partial 16S ribosomal RNA
Rfam family: Bacterial small subunit ribosomal RNA
Source: RNAcentral